This 788-nucleotide ribosomal RNA is filed under the name Triangularia setosa. RNAcentral describes it as "partial large subunit ribosomal RNA". It matches the Rfam family "Eukaryotic large subunit ribosomal RNA", at positions 151 to 975 of the family's 3401-position model. The record is from RNAcentral. Lineage: Eukaryota; Fungi; Ascomycota; Sordariomycetes; Sordariales; Podosporaceae.
AGAGGAAGCUUUUGGUGCGGCACCGACCGAGUCCCCUGGAACGGGGCGCCAUAGAGGGUGAGAGCCCCGUAUGGUUGGACGCCUAUCCUCUGUAAAGCUCCUUCGACGAGUCGAGUAGUUUGGGAAUGCUGCUCAAAAUGGGAGGUAAAUUUCUUCUAAAGCUAAAUAUUGGCCAGAGACCGAUAGCGCACAAGUAGAGUGAUCGAAAGAUGAAAAGCACUUUGAAAAGAGGGUUAAAUAGCACGUGAAAUUGUUGAAAGGGAAGCGCUUGUGACCAGACUUGCGCCUCGUCGAUCAUCCGGGGUUCUCCCCGGUGCACUCGGCGGGGCUCAGGCCAGCAUCGGUUUUCGUGGGGGGACAAAGGCACCGGGAACGUAGCUCCUCCGGGAGUGUUAUAGCCCGGGGCGUAAUGCCCUCGCGGGGACCGAGGACCGCGCUUCGGCAAGGAUGCUGGCGUAAUGGUCAUCAGCGACCCGUCUUGAAACACGGACCAAGGAGUCAAGGUUUUGCGCGAGUGUUUGGGUGUAAAACCCGCACGCGUAAUGAAAGUGAACGUAGGUGAGAGCUUCGGCGCAUCAUCGACCGAUCCUGAUGUAUUCGGAUGGAUUUGAGUAGGAGCGUUAAGCCUUGGACCCGAAAGAUGGUGAACUAUGCUUGGAUAGGGUGAAGCCAGAGCUGGUGGAGGCUCGCAGCGGUUCUGACGUGCAAAUCGAUCGUCAAAUCUGAGCAUGGGGGGCGAAAGACUAAUCGAACCAUCUAGUAGCUGGUUACCGCCGAAGUUCCCCCUC